RNAcentral lists this ribosomal RNA (492 nucleotides) under uncultured bacterium. RNAcentral's name for it is "partial 16S ribosomal RNA". It matches the Rfam family "Bacterial small subunit ribosomal RNA", at positions 29 to 507 of the family's 1533-position model. The record is from RNAcentral.
AGUGAACGCUGGCGGCAGGCCUAACACAUGCAAGUCGAACGGAAACACAGUAAGAGCUUGCUCUUAAGGGUGGCGGGUGGCGGACGGGUGAGGAAUACAUCGGAAUCUACUUUUUCGUGGGGGAUAACGUAGGGAAGGUUACGCUACUACCGCAUACGACCUACGGGUGAAAGCAGGGGAUCUUCGGACCUUGCGCGACUGAAUGAGACGAUGUCGGAUUAGCUAGUUGGGUGGGUAAAGGCCCACCAAGGCGACGAUCCGUAGCUGGUCUGAGAGGAUGAUCGGCCACACUGGAACUGAGACACGGUCCAGACUCCUACGGGAGGCAGCAGUGGGGAAUAUUGGACAAUGGGCGCAAGCCUGAUCCAGCCAUACCGCGUGGGUGAAGAAGGCCUUCGGGUUGUAAAGCCCUUUUGUUGGGAAAGAAAAGCAGCAGGUUAAUACCCCGCUGUUCUGACGGUACCCAAGGAAUAAGCACCGGCUAACUUCGUG